This 209-nucleotide unclassified non-coding RNA is filed under the name Hevea brasiliensis (rubber tree). Lineage: Eukaryota; Viridiplantae; Streptophyta; Magnoliopsida; Malpighiales; Euphorbiaceae. The record is from RNAcentral.
CGGAAAGAAAGAGUAAAGCAAGCGUUUCACAAAUUCUCUUUUGCAGCCGCCAAUUGAUUUUUUCGCUUUUAAUAAAAUCCUCAAAGGAAAGAAACCCGACUUCUAUUUGCAUUCUUUUUCUCAUAUAUUCAUCGAAACUUAGAAACAGUGUUUGCUAAUCACCGCAAGAAAGGUACUGCUAAGCCAUGGCCAAGAGCUCCUUCAAGUUG